RNAcentral lists this ribosomal RNA (255 nucleotides) under uncultured bacterium. RNAcentral's name for it is "partial 16S ribosomal RNA". It matches the Rfam family "Bacterial small subunit ribosomal RNA", at positions 526 to 779 of the family's 1533-position model. The record is from RNAcentral.
CGUAGGGUGCGAGCGUUGUCCGGAAUUAUUGGGCGUAAAGAGCUCGUAGGCGGUUCGUCGCGUCGAAUGUGAAAUCCCGGGGCUCAACUCCGGGUCUGCAUUCGAUACGGGCGGACUAGAGUUCGGUAGGGGAGACUGGAAUUCCUGGUGUAGCGGUGAAAUGCGCAGAUAUCAGGAGGAACACCGGUGGCGAAGGCGGGUCUCUGGGCCGGAUACUGACGCUGAGGAGCGAAAGCGUGGGGAGCGAACAGGAUU